RNAcentral lists this long non-coding RNA (330 nucleotides) under Panax ginseng (ginseng). RNAcentral describes it as "long non-coding RNA (PGIN_LNC004000)". The record is from RNAcentral. Lineage: Eukaryota; Viridiplantae; Streptophyta; Magnoliopsida; Apiales; Araliaceae.
GGAAGGCGAUGAAGAACAAUAUCAGUGGACAAUCCCACCAUGUCUUCAUGAGACCAUGCAAACACAUCCUGGAAUUGGGUUAACAGUGUAACCAUGUCAUUCCGUUGAUUUGUGGUAAGGUCUGAACCAAUCUAGAUUAGCUUAGGGUUGUCUAAGGUUCCGAGAUUGAAAGGAGUGGUUUAAUCAAGAUUGGGUUUGGGUUUGUCGGCGACCCAUUCCUUAAUCUCUUGAGGUGUCUCAAUGUCCUCUUGGAUAUCCAUCAAGUCUGAGUCCAACUUUGCAUCAAAGUUACAGCCCUUGUGGAGAGAAGGCACCUCAUCAGCAAGUACA